This 382-nucleotide ribosomal RNA is filed under the name uncultured Monoblepharella. Its description in RNAcentral is "SSU rRNA". It matches the Rfam family "Eukaryotic small subunit ribosomal RNA", at positions 585 to 972 of the family's 1831-position model. The record is from RNAcentral. Lineage: Eukaryota; Fungi; Monoblepharomycota; Monoblepharidomycetes; Monoblepharidales; Monoblepharidaceae.
CCAGCUCCAAUAGCGUAUAUUAAAGUUGUUGCAGUUAAAAAGCUCGUAGUCGAAUUUUGGGCUUGGCUGAAGGGUCUGCCUCACGGUACGCACUCUUCUGGUCGGGCCUUUCCUUCUGGCGAACCACGGUGCUCUUCACUGAGUGCCGUGGGGAACCAGGACUUUUACUUUGAAAAAAUUAGAGUGUUUAAAGCAAGCCUACGCUUGAAUACAUUAGCAUGGAAUAAUAGAAUAGGACCCUGGUUCUAUUUUGUUGGUUUCUGGAACCGGAGUAAUGAUUAAUAGGGAUAGUUGGGGGCAUUAGUAUUUAAUUGUCAGAGGUGAAAUUCUUGGAUUUAUGAAAGACUAACUUCUGCGAAAGCAUUUGCCAAGGAUGUUUUCA